Molecule: ribosomal RNA, 484 nt
Filed under: uncultured bacterium
Lineage: Bacteria
Description: partial 16S ribosomal RNA
Rfam family: Bacterial small subunit ribosomal RNA
Source: RNAcentral
AUUGAACGCUGGCGGCAUGCUUUACACAUGCAAGUCGAACGGCAGCGCGGGCUUCGGCCUGUCGGCGAGUGGCGAACGGGUGAGUAAUACAUCGGAACGUGCCCAGUAGUGGGGGAUAGCUCGGCGAAAGCCGGAUUAAUACCGCAUACGACCUGCGGGUGAAAGCGGGGGAUCUUCGUACCUCGCGCUAUUGGAGCGGCCGAUGGCAGAUUAGCUAGUUGGUGGGGUAAAGGCCUACCAAGGCGACGAUCUGUAGCUGGUCUGAGAGGACGACCAGCCACACUGGGACUGAGACACGGCCCAGACUCCGACGGGAGGCAGCAGUGGGGAAUUUUGGACAAUGGGCGAAAGCCUGAUCCAGCAAUGCCGCGUGUGUGAUGAAGGCCUUCGGGUUGUAAAGCACUUUUGGCGGGAACGAAAAGGACUGUGCCAAUACCACGGUUCGAUGACGGUACCCGCAGAAGAAGCACCGGCUAACUACGUG